This 477-nucleotide ribosomal RNA is filed under the name uncultured bacterium. RNAcentral's name for it is "partial 16S ribosomal RNA". It matches the Rfam family "Bacterial small subunit ribosomal RNA", at positions 30 to 507 of the family's 1533-position model. The record is from RNAcentral.
AUUGAACGCUGGCGGCAUGCCUUACACAUGCAAGUCGAACGGUAACAGGUUAAGCUGACGAGUGGCGAACGGGUGAGUAAUACAUCGGAACGUGCCCAGUAGUGGGGGAUAGCCCGGCGAAAGCCGGAUUAAUACCGCAUACGACCUAAGGGUGAAAGGGGGGGAUCGCAAGACCUCUCGCUAUUGGAGCGGCCGAUGUCAGAUUAGCUAGUUGGGGGGGUAAAAGCUCACCAAGGCGACGAUCUGUAGCUGGUCUGAGAGGACGACCAGCCACACUGGGACUGAGACACGGCCCAGACUCCUACGGGAGGCAGCAGUGGGGAAUUUUGGACAAUGGGCGCAAGCCUGAUCCAGCCAUGCCGCGUGCGGGAAGAAGGCCUUCGGGUUGUAAACCGCUUUUGUCAGGGAAGAAAUCCUUUGGGUUAAUACCUCGGGGGGAUGACGGUACCUGAAGAAUAAGCACCGGCUAACUACGUG